This 1059-nucleotide ribosomal RNA is filed under the name uncultured Cryobacterium sp. Its description in RNAcentral is "bacterial SSU rRNA". It matches the Rfam family "Bacterial small subunit ribosomal RNA", at positions 337 to 1394 of the family's 1533-position model. The record is from RNAcentral. Lineage: Bacteria; Bacillati; Actinomycetota; Actinomycetes; Micrococcales; Microbacteriaceae.
UCCUACGGGAGGCAGCAGUGGGGAAUAUUGCACAAUGGGCGCAAGCCUGAUGCAGCAACGCCGCGUGAGGGACGAAGGCCUUCGGGUUGUAAACCUCUUUUAGUAGGGAAGAAGCGACUGGGUUUUCCUGGGAGUGACGGUACCUGCAGAAAAAGCACCGGCUAACUACGUGCCAGCAGCCGCGGUAAUACGUAGGGUGCAAGCGUUGUCCGGAAUUAUUGGGCGUAAAGAGCUCGUAGGCGGUUUGUCGCGUCUGCUGUGAAAGCCCGAGGCUCAACCUCGGGCCUGCAGUGGGUACGGGCAGACUAGAGUGCGGUAGGGGAGAUUGGAAUUCCUGGUGUAGCGGUGGAAUGCGCAGAUAUCAGGAGGAACACCAAUGGCGAAGGCAGAUCUCUGGGCCGUAACUGACGCUGAGGAGCGAAAGCAUGGGGAGCGAACAGGAUUAGAUACCCUGGUAGUCCAUGCCGUAAACGUUGGGAACUAGAUGUGGGGACCAUUCCACGGUCUCCGUGUCGCAGCUAACGCAUUAAGUUCCCCGCCUGGGGAGUACGGCCGCAAGGCUAAAACUCAAAGGAAUUGACGGGGGCCCGCACAAGCGGCGGAGCAUGCGGAUUAAUUCGAUGCAACGCGAAGAACCUUACCAAGGCUUGACAUAUACCGGAAACGGCUGGAAACAGUCGCCCCGCAAGGUCGGUAUACAGGUGGUGCAUGGUUGUCGUCAGCUCGUGUCGUGAGAUGUUGGGUUAAGUCCCGCAACGAGCGCAACCCUCGUCCUAUGUUGCCAGCACGUAAUGGUGGGAACUCAUGGGAUACUGCCGGGGUCAACUCGGAGGAAGGUGGGGAUGACGUCAAAUCAUCUUGCCCCUUAUGUCUUGGGCUUCACGCAUGCUACAAUGGCCGGUACAAAGGGCUGCGAUACCGCAAGGUGGAGCGAAUCCCAAAAAGCCGGUCUCAGUUCGGAUUGAGGUCUGCAACUCGACCUCAUGAAGUCGGAGUCGCUAGUAAUCGCAGAUCAGCAACGCUGCGGUGAAUACGUUCCCGGGCCUUGUACACACCGCC